Molecule: long non-coding RNA, 1677 nt
Organism: Herpailurus yagouaroundi (jaguarundi)
Lineage: Eukaryota; Metazoa; Chordata; Mammalia; Carnivora; Felidae
Exons: 2
Source: RefSeq, a predicted model, not a curated record
ACUCAGUAAUCGAGACAGAGAGGUACUUAAUAACAUUUUUAGAAAUCAAAAUUAAUGCAGAAAAAUCCAUAAUGAACAAAGUGUUAAAAUUUUAAACCGGGAUCAAUACAAGUUAAAAGUCCUGCCAGCCUAGGUAUUAUCUUUAGAACAAACUCCGAGUCCUGCAAGCACAUGCCCAACCCGCCGUGCCGGCUGCGUCCCCAGCGCCUUCCCUUAGCGGGGAGGACGAACUCAGUCGGGGUCAGAAGAAACCACGAGAAUCCAAGUUCUCCAUUCCAUAAAGGAUUGUCGGACACAGAAGGGGGGGCGCAAGGUGCUUAGAUGUGCCUCAAUUUCCUCUCUAGCCCCCCUGCCCAAAGCUUAAUUUCCCCCACGCCACCCUCCGCUAUCACGGGGCGUAGACGUGGAGCUGGGAGCCAGCAGUGUGGCCCUCGUGCCUGUGCCAGAGGCCGGAGUUCAGGGGAUCGAGGCCACCUGCCAACACAGAGCCACCGGAAACCAACCACCAGAAACAGUCCCUGGGGCCAAGGACGGCCCCUGGGUCACAGAUGUCAACCUCCGGUACAAGGGACACGGGCCUCCCUCCUUCCGAACACCUGGAAACCACCUGAGGGAGGAAAGCAGGGCAAGGUACGUGCGUUAACGGAGGGGCCUUCAAGCAGAGCGGACCCAGAGCUGAGUCGGCUGGUGACAGCGGCCCGCGGCCCCUCCCCCCCCGCACACCUGGCGUGGCUGGGCCCCCAGCUGGGCUGCCGCUUCCAGGUGGGCUCAGGAAGCCUCACGCGCACUCGUCCGCGCUCCCCCCGCCCCGGCAGGAAGGUGACCGGAGCCACCGUGGCCACGUGGGCCAGACCCCCAAGUGACACGUGGAGGGGGCCGCGGCCGGGGUACCCGAGUGCCUGAAGCACAACCCCCCGUGACUGUCCUGGGAACCAGAAAUACACUUGGUUUGAGCCACUGCACCCCAAGGCUUACUUGUUUAGGCAGCUCGCCAGCUCACCAGGAGAGAUGGCAUCAGCCAGACCGCGGAGAGCACGGGGGUCUUGGCGGACGAAUUCCGAGCCGGGAGCCGCUCCGGUUUAGAACGACUGCUCUGCCCUCUGCACACACCGCGUCAGCAAGUCUUGCGAUCGGAUUAUACUCGAGCCCUCCCCCUCGUUGCCCUCCCGGGAACCGGGAGAGGACAGAGUGACCUUGACCUUGGAGAGGCCACUCCCUUGGCAUAAAGGUGCUGGGAGUAAACAGAAGAGCUUGUGGUCUAGUUUUAUAUGAAAGAUUUAGGAGGAUGAGACUAUUUGCUUCAAUGACCCUCCCUCAGUAGGCUGGGCCAGGCUGCCUGUGAUGAAGUCUGAACCUCUGCCCUACCCGCGCCCCGCCUCCUGGCUGGGUUCUUCAUUCCACAGAUCCGACUGGCCACACCUCCAUUUUGCUUUUCAGCCACGCCAACUUACUUCCAGAGUAGCUAAGAUACAAAAUCCUGAAUCCAGUUUGGAAAGAUCUGGGCGACGAGGAAUGACGACAAGAAAUCUGACAAUGGCAGGUUUUAUUUAUACACAGAACAACCUAUUUACAACCCCAGGUUGGGUCUGUACACAGCAAUACAGGAGGCAUUUGCUUCCACGGCGGGCACCGUAUAAAUUAAGAUCAUAAAUAUGAGGGGUAAGCCCCGCCCGAGGG